UACGUAGGUGGCGAGCGUUGUCCGGAUUUACUGGGCGUAAAGGGAGCGUAGGCGGACUUUUAAGUGAGAUGUGAAAUACUCGGGCUCAACUUGAGUGCUGCAUUUCAAACUGGAAGUCUAGAGUGCAGGAGAGGAGAAUGGAAUUCCUAGUGUAGCGGUGAAAUGCGUAGAGAUUAGGAAGAACACCAGUGGCGAAGGCGAUUCUCUGGACUGUAACUGACGCUGAGGCUCGAAAGCGUGGGGGAGCAAACAGG
RNAcentral lists this ribosomal RNA (254 nucleotides) under uncultured bacterium. Its description in RNAcentral is "partial 16S ribosomal RNA". It matches the Rfam family "Bacterial small subunit ribosomal RNA", at positions 524 to 776 of the family's 1533-position model. The record is from RNAcentral.